GCGGGACGUCCCGCGUGGGGGCCGGGGGCCGCCGCAGCCCCUGGGGAGGGCCCCGGGGGACCAAACCCUCAACCCCGAGGGAGAGGCGCAGGACGCGUUAAGCCCGGGCGAGCAGCCGCGGGGAGCGGGGCCAGGCUCCGAGGGGCCGCGGCGCGGCUCUCCCCGCGGUGCCGGCGGCUGAAAGCGGAGGCUGAGGUGCCUUUGUGCAGCCCCUGUUGGCUGCCACCUCACGCCGCCCCGCCGGGUGAGAUGUGAUGUCCCACAGGCGCCCGCACUGCUGACUGUCCCGUUCUGGUCACUGAUAGAAAAGAGAAAGAAACUCCUUCGCUUCUGAGAAGAAACGGCUGGGCAGGAAAUCUGAAAGGUGAAAUGGUCUCCUGCUGUAAACUACAUUCACACCUGUUUUGUGUCCUCAGAAGAUCAGAGACCUGCUCUGUGGAAGGGGAAGGUGCUCUGCCCGUCACUGUUGUUCCCCCUGAGCUUUGGUUUAGAGGAGAACCACGCCAGGCUCUAAUACCACUGUGCAGCACCUCAGUGGUAAGGCCAGUCUGAGGCAUUUCAAUGUUUCCCAUCCAUGCCUGGGCACCAACUACUCCAGCGCUGCACCUCACAUCCCCUGCUUUGUAACUGCCGCUGGUGGUGGGGCCGUGUUGUGAACCAAGUCAUUCAACCGAUCUGACCUAUUUGUGCAUGUUUUCUUUCUUUCUAACCUAAGUCAGUUAAGUCAUCCAGUUCACAGAAUGACUCAUGAAGUGGUGCUCUUGCUUAAUCUAGAAGGGGAGCAUGCCCUACCACCUGAGUGCAGGAGUAAGCAACCUGAAGAGCUCAUUAAGCCACUGUAUCAUAGAACAAGGACUUCUGUGUAUGUCUGUGUUGGACACGAAAAGUGUGACCACUGCUUGGUGAAAAGAAUUCAACUGUGAAUCAAUGUAUGGUAAAAGUAACUAUUCUUUACAAAAAUAUCAAACAAAACACAUUUUAAUCAGUGCAGGCAAAUCCACACCAUCAUCCUGGUGAAUUUAACAAGGCAUGACUGAUUAUUUGUCCCCUGGUAUGGUUCACAGGUUGAUCCCAUGAGAUUGUCAUUAAGCGCAGACAAUACAAUGCAUUUUCUUUUAAUUUUACUCUAGGAGAUGGUUCCAUUAAAGCAGCUGAAAUUUACAGAAAUAUCCAGCCAGUGGCAAACAGUGGCAUGAAAAAUUUCAGCCCAAAUAGUUGACAUACACUAUUUUUAAACAGGAAAAAGUGGAAAUUUACAAGGAUAACAUCACUUACAAGAUGUUAACCCUAUAAGCAUUGCACUUAUUGCCCGACUUUAAAAAAAAAAAAAAAAAAAAAAGGCAGGAAUAUUGUUUUUAAGCUGCCAUUUUACCCUGUCCUUCAAUGAUCUGCUUUGAUUUUGACAUAGCUCAUAUAAGAGCUAUUAAAAUCUGUGAAAUUAUACAUAUUUUUAAAGUGUGCUUCUGGGAAAUCUUCAUGCCUGUCAGGUACUGAUUUUGUAAAACCUGGCAAAAAAGAGAGUAUUAAUCUCAUCACCAGCUACCAGUUUCUUCUUUAACUUUCUUUCUCAGUCAUGUGCAAGGAGCUUCUAUUUAGUCAGAAUUCCUGAACAGUCAGACCUGAACUUUUCUCACACUCUAAGGUGCUGCAGCUUGCACAGGUGCCUUUGAGAAGUGUUUUUUCUCAUAUGUUUAUUGAAGUCAUGGGUUUAAGCUAGAACUUGUAUGUUAAUGAACGUUGUGGAACGUUAUGAACAUUAACGUAUGUUAAUGAACGUAUGUUAAUGAAUGUUAUGGCAUUCUAUCAAGCUCACCUGCCAUACAGUUUAACCA
This is a long non-coding RNA of Cygnus olor (mute swan), 1832 nucleotides long. RefSeq lists it as uncharacterized. Lineage: Eukaryota; Metazoa; Chordata; Aves; Anseriformes; Anatidae. The record is from RefSeq and is a predicted model, not a curated record. The transcript has 3 exons.